This 85-nucleotide transfer RNA is filed under the name Patescibacteria group bacterium. RNAcentral describes it as "tRNA-Leu". It matches the Rfam family "tRNA". From Rfam's summary of the family: Transfer RNA (tRNA) molecules are approximately 80 nucleotides in length. The record is from RNAcentral.
GGGCCCGUGGCGGAAUUGGUAUACGCAACGGACUUAAAAUCCGUCACCGCAAGGUAUGUGGGUUCGACUCCCACCGGGCCCACCA